GCCGUUGGAGACCACAACGUUGAUAGGUGGGGUGUGUAAGCGCGGCGACGUGUUGAGCUAACCCAUACUAAUUACCCGUGAGGCUUAACCAU
Molecule: ribosomal RNA, 92 nt
Filed under: Aeromonas hydrophila
Lineage: Bacteria; Pseudomonadati; Pseudomonadota; Gammaproteobacteria; Aeromonadales; Aeromonadaceae
Also listed under: 12 other names
Description: partial 23S ribosomal RNA
Rfam family: Bacterial large subunit ribosomal RNA
Source: RNAcentral